CAAUUGAGUUGUUAAUUACGUUGAUUAAUUUCUCAUCACUGACUCGUUGUUUAUAACUGGAUCGGGUAAGUUGAGCAAGAUUUCCUUUAAGGCUGUAAUCAUGAUAAUAAUACUACUAAUGUUAAUGGAAGAUAAUAUAUUUAUGUGAACUCCUCUCGAUGUUGGAGUAAUUAUUUCGAAGCGGGAACCUGAGAGGAAAUCGAGAAAAAGAAAUAGUGCAACGGGUAUAAAAGAAAAAGGUGUAGAAAAGGAAUCUGAAGAGAAAAAUAUGCAGAAAGCAAUGAGGGUGAGAGGCCUUCGGAAAAUUGACAAGAUCCGAAGAUUUUAGGGAAAUGGGUUUUUAUUUUUUUGUAAAUGAAAUUUAACAUAAAUACGUUUAAAACGUUAUAGGUCACGAUUAUAAAGAAACUUGUUGGGAAAAUGUUUUGCGAAGGGGUCAGGAGAGGACUUCGAAAAAUCCGAAGUUUUCCCCUCGUAACUUUGAGGAAAAUAUAAUCCUUUUGAAAUAAUAAAUUAAGUUUUUCCAGAGCAACUUGUAUGCUAAGCAUCCUUUUGUCAAGAUUCAUUCGUUAGUCCCCCUUUCGUUAUAGCACAUGCUGUUAACUAUAAACACAUGAAAUAUUAUCACUUAUAAUACACUUUCUUGAUGCACUUACAUAUUUCUGCUCUGUAUUUGUGUGGAAUGUAGAUAACAAAAUAAAUGUCACAGUUUAAACUUGAGAAAAGCCUUGAAUAUUUAUAAUGUGCAAGUUAUAGAUGUAUGUAUGCAUUUCUGUGCAUGUGUGUGUUUUCGGCUAGGGUUCCUUCUUAGCUGCUUCAUUUGUGUAUGUAAAUUUCUAAAAAGAUAAAAGGAGAUCGAUGUCAAAAAAGCUGUAUUACUGAUGAUAUAGAAUAAGCAAGUUAAGAAAGAUUACUAAUAAUUACCAACAACAACACUGAACACCUUUUUGAUCUCCAUGUUUCUAACACACGUGGACAUGCCUACAAAGUCAGAAAACAACACAGCUCCCAUGACUUUCGGAAACAUUUUUUCACGCUCAGAGUUGCUGAAGCAUGGAAUAAACUGCCUGCGUCAGUUGUUAACUGCCAUGACACUGCAUCAUUUAAGGCCCUCAUGCUUUCCGAAAUCCGCCGAAACUACACCUGAUUAUAUAUACACUUUAGAUGAGUUGUAGUGCACCUGUAUUAUUAUUAUUAUUAUUAUAAUUGAGUAAAACUAUAUGAAACCACCCUUUGAAGUUACAGUAAUCUCAUAGAAUUAAGAACAUAGCAACAUUGAGAAAAUAUGAUUCCUCGUCUUGGAUAUAUCAAACAUUUACGAUCCUUCGUUAUAGGUACCGGAAGUGGCUUUGUUUACAUUUCUGAGGAUAACAGAAACCCUUUUCUGUCCGUCCCCCCCAUAUAUAAAAAAACACUUUCUUGAAAUGUAUCCGGUACCUGUACCGAAGUUACGCCCAAAUAUUGAUUUUCUUUUGAUUGGCAUGAGAAAACAAAUGUGUGUAGAGCAUGUCAUUACGCCAGUCUUUCAAUGCCUCAAGGAACUCUGACCCCUAAAAACAUUUAAUAGAUGACAAUGUUAAAUUUUGCAACAUUGAAUUAGUGUAUCAUCUAACUAUUCUCUUUAUCUUGAUGUUUCUUUUCCUAUUUCAGAAUAUCACCUUAUGUUGACACACAAGAAACUUCUUCAUUCAGAUGUGCCUUUCAUAUUUUGACAUCGUUUCACCAACUAAAGCAAGAUGACAUAAUUUAUCAGCAGCAUUCAUCAAUACAUCAAAAUUUAUAAGAAGACAAUAUUUUUCUUGUCUUCACUGUUUGGAAUGUAGAGAAAGUGAAUGCCUUACUGGUUAAUUAAGGUUGGAUAACUUUACAAACGAGUUGACGAUUUCUUUCAGCUGAUUUAGAUAUUAAGUAAGAUCACAGAAGACAGAAACACAGCUCCAAAUUCUUUUCUAGAAAAUGUUGCAGAACUGAAA
This 1973-nucleotide long non-coding RNA is filed under the name Octopus vulgaris (common octopus). The record is from RNAcentral. Lineage: Eukaryota; Metazoa; Mollusca; Cephalopoda; Octopoda; Octopodidae.